UAGGGAAUCUUCCGCAAUGGACGCAAGUCUGACGGAGCAACGCCGCGUGAGUGAAGAAGGAUUUCGGUUCGUAAAACUCUGUUGUUAGAGAAGAACAGCGCAUAGAGUAACUGUUAUGCGUGUGACGGUAUCUAACCAGAAAGCCACGGCUAACUACGUGCCAGCAGCCGCGGUAAUACGUAGUUGGCAAGCGUUGUCCGGAUUUAUUGGGCGUAAAGCGAGCGCAGGCGGUCAAUUAAGUCUGAUGUGAAAGCCCCCGGCUCAACCGGGGAGGGUCAUUGGAAACUGGUUGACUUGAGUGCAGAAGAGGAGAGUGGAAUUCCAUGUGUAGCGGUGAAAUGCGUAGAUAUAUGGAGGAACACCAGUGGCGAAGGCGACUCUCUGGUCUGUAACUGACGCUGAGGCUCGAAAGCGUGGGUAGCAAACAGG
RNAcentral lists this ribosomal RNA (429 nucleotides) under Bacteroidota bacterium. RNAcentral's name for it is "Bacteroidetes bacterium partial 16S ribosomal RNA". It matches the Rfam family "Bacterial small subunit ribosomal RNA", at positions 355 to 776 of the family's 1533-position model. The record is from RNAcentral. Lineage: Bacteria; Pseudomonadati; Bacteroidota.